CUGCAUCGGCCUCCCGGCGACCGCGCUGCUUUCCCUCAGGCCGCCGCGGCGGCGCCCGCCCGCGCCUCCAUCCGGGUCCUGGCGCGGUGCUCUCCCGGCAGCGACGGGCGCGAGGGCCGGGGCAUUCCCACGGCCGCGACGGCCCUCUCCGCGAGCGCGAGGAUGUACAUGAAGCAUGGCACCAACAGCUGCUCCUGUGAGGCCUCAAGAAGCUUACAAUCGUGGCAGAAGCUGAAGGGGGAGCCAGCGUGUGGCAUGGCAAGGGAAGGAGCAAGAGAGAGAGGGAGGAGCUGCCAGGCUCUUGAACAACCAGAUCUCACGUGAACUCACAGAUUGAAAUUCACUCAUUACUGUGAGGACACACCAAGCCAUUUAUGAGGGAUGCACCCCUAUGACCCAAACACCUCCUACUAGGCCCACCUCCAACAUCAGAGGUCACAUGAAACGAGAUGUAUAGGGGACAAAACAGUCAAACCAUAUCAGUCCCACCAGCAAGAAGGCUCUCACUGGAUGUGGUCCCUUGAUCUUGGACUUCUCAGCCUCUGUAACUGUAAAAAAUAAAUUUUGUUUCU
Molecule: long non-coding RNA, 572 nt
Filed under: Homo sapiens (human)
Lineage: Eukaryota; Metazoa; Chordata; Mammalia; Primates; Hominidae
Description: HSALNT0152340
Source: RNAcentral